UAAUAUAAAAAAUUUCUUGGUUUAUUGAUAUUUUCGUUAAAUAAUAUUUCACUAAUUCGUUGUAAAAUACCAUAUUUCUAGAUUCUCUAUCCUAAUCGCAUCGGUCAUUGAAUAUAAUUACAAUUUUAGAAUCUCAUUGCCGGUAUCUUUAUUUUGUAUCUUGUAUCCUUCAACUCAAACACGAAUAGUCUAUGCAUAAAUAACUUGCAAGAAGAAAUGCACAUAUAAAAAUUUACCUGUUUAAAACGAGUUUAUGGUCAAAGUAAUAAGAUUAUUUAAGAUAAUGGAAAUAAUUUUUUAAAAAUUAUCAGUUUUGUAAGAAACCAACUGGUAUUUUUUCCAUGCAGUUAAUAUUACAAAUUAAUAAAUGAAUAAAUAAAUAAAAAUAAAUGAUCCAUAUAAUAGGUGAUUAAUUUUAGAAUCAUUAUUUAUUUAAGCUUUACAAAACAAUUUCUGGAUUCCGAUUACUUGUCAUAUAUAUUUUUUUUUAUAAUUCUAAUCGUGAAAAAAGCGUAAAAAAGUAAUUAAUGACAAAGGAACAAACAAGAAAAUAAUGAAGAUCGUCCGUGUAUAUUUUUCCUUUUUAUCCCCGUCACAUUUAAUUGACGUACCUUUAAUUGAGAAUCGACAGAUAUAAACAAAAAUAAAACCGUAGCCGGUCCAUCUCUAUUUAGCGGUGGUCACGUUGAGAUGCCAUGUCCAGAGAACGUUCUCAUGGAUCCAGCUCGCGGCUUAAUAUCACUGCUUGUUGGAUGUUAGCAUAAGCAAACACAGGGGGCUCGAAUAGUAAACCCGUGUGGAUAAAUUGUCGGCCUAUCGAAAAGUAGAAGAAUGAAAAGGGCGAAAGCUGCUCAAGCAAUGACUGCCUUUAACAAAAGGACCCCUUUUCAAUAGCUUUUUAUCUUGCAAUAAGUACUUUCAAAAGAAUAAAUUUUCUGAAUAUUUU
Molecule: long non-coding RNA, 946 nt
Organism: Apis mellifera (honey bee)
Lineage: Eukaryota; Metazoa; Arthropoda; Insecta; Hymenoptera; Apidae
Exons: 2
Source: RefSeq, a predicted model, not a curated record